RNAcentral lists this ribosomal RNA (524 nucleotides) under uncultured bacterium. Its description in RNAcentral is "bacterial SSU rRNA". It matches the Rfam family "Bacterial small subunit ribosomal RNA", at positions 355 to 896 of the family's 1533-position model. The record is from RNAcentral.
UGGGGAAUAUUGGACAAUGGACCAAGAGUCUGAUCCAGCAAUUCUGUGUGCACGAUGAAGUUUUUCGGAAUGUAAAGUGCUUUCAGUUGGGAAGAAAGAAAUGACGGUACCAACAGAAGAAGUGACGGCUAAAUACGUGCCAGCAGCCGCGGUAAUACGUAUGUCACGAGCGUUAUCCGGAUUUAUUGGGCGUAAAGCGCGUCUAGGUGGUUAUGUAAGUCUGAUGUGAAAAUGCAGGGCUCAACUCUGUAUUGCGUUGGAAACUGUAUAACUAGAGUACUGGAGAGGUAAGCGGAACUACAAGUGUAGAGGUGAAAUUCGUAGAUAUUUGUAGGAAUGCCGAUGGGGAAGCCAGCUUACUGGACAGAUACUGACGCUAAAGCGCGAAAGCGUGGGUAGCAAACAGGAUUAGAUACCCUGGUAGUCCACGCUGUAAACGAUGAUUACUAGGUGUUGGGGGUCGAACCUCAGCGCCCAAGCAAACGCGAUAAGUAAUCCGCCUGGGGAGUACGUACGCAAGUAUG